UGCCAAUGAAUAUAAAACAGGCAGAAAAACAUGGACAGAGAGAGAGAAGAGCGUAGCCUCCCAGCCUACAUCUUUCUCCCAUGCUGGAUGUUUCCUGCCCUCAAACAUUGGACUCCAAGUUCUUCAGUUUUAGGAUUCAGACUGGCUUCCUUGCUCCUCAGCUUGCAGACAGCCUAUUGUGGGAACUUGUGAUCGUGUUUGGCCGCUGACGAGCACCAGCAGGAUAUGAGGAGGAAGGAGAGUGAGGUCAGUGUGUUCAUUCUCACCACUUCCUUCUUGGACUCACUUCCAGGCUCACUGAAGUUUGCAUCUCAAGUCAGUUUGAUGAGGAGGCAUCAUUUUUGCCAAGUGCAAGAUCAGUUUUGGUGGCAGAAUGUCUAUAUAGAAAGUUCUUCUGGAGGUCAUCAGUGAAGUCAAUUUCCCCCUCUAAUUCCACAUUCCUUCUACUCACAGAAUGUGCCCAAUGGCACAGGAAAUUCUCAAGGGUUUUUUGGCAUUAAGAAAUGACUUCAUUGUUUCAUUAGCUGGAAAAUCUGGAUCUGAUCUUUGGAAGAAGGAUUUGGAACAUAGUGACUGUACCUUUAAUGAAAAGAUUAACAAUGCUUCAGAGCUGAAUUGCCCUGGAUUUGUUUAGAAUAGGCCUUGCGUUUUGCUUUUUUGAGGAGGAACUUACAUACCAAGUCUUGUCCUGGAUUUAUAUACCAUUCCAAUCCCCUCGCCCAUGUUCUAAAUAAAGACAUGGAGUUCAGUAGGGAGACUCGGAGAAGAAGCUGGUACAAUUCAAAAGCAAGUGAACUAUUUCUCAAUAAGACUUGGAAUUCCAACUUCUGGUUAAUUGUAAAUAUGAUUUGGAGGAAGAAGUAGCACAUCAGGGAGCUAAG
This is a long non-coding RNA of Homo sapiens (human), 881 nucleotides long. Lineage: Eukaryota; Metazoa; Chordata; Mammalia; Primates; Hominidae. The record is from Ensembl.